This 450-nucleotide ribosomal RNA is filed under the name Corynebacterium matruchotii. RNAcentral's name for it is "bacterial SSU rRNA". It matches the Rfam family "Bacterial small subunit ribosomal RNA", at positions 28 to 471 of the family's 1533-position model. Lineage: Bacteria; Bacillati; Actinomycetota; Actinomycetes; Mycobacteriales; Corynebacteriaceae. The record is from RNAcentral.
GACGAACGCUGGCGGCGUGCUUAACACAUGCAAGUCGAACGGAAAGGCCCCCACCUUGGUGGGGGUGCUCGAGUGGCGAACGGGUGAGUAACACGUGGGUGAUCUGCCCUGUACUUCGGGAUAAGCUUGGGAAACUGGGUCUAAUACCGGAUAGGACCAUGGUUUAGUGUCUCAUGGUGGAAAAAUUAUUGUUUUGGUGCAGGAUGAGCUCGCGGCCUAUCAGCUUGUUGGUGGGGUAAUGGCCUACCAAGGCGUCGACGGGUAGCCGGCCUGAGAGGGUGGACGGCCACAUUGGGACUGAGAUACGGCCCAGACUCCUACGGGAGGCAGCAGUGGGGAAUAUUGCACAAUGGGCGCAAGCCUGAUGCAGCGACGCCGCGUGGGGGAUGACGGCCUUCGGGUUGUAAACUCCUUUCGUUAGGGACGAAGCCGCACCUUUUUUGGGGUGUG